Molecule: ribosomal RNA, 400 nt
Filed under: Stemonitis axifera
Lineage: Eukaryota; Evosea; Eumycetozoa; Stemonitida; Stemonitidae
Description: SSU rRNA
Rfam family: Eukaryotic small subunit ribosomal RNA
Source: RNAcentral
CAUCUCUGAAUCUGCGAACGGCUCCGCACAACAAGAGUAACCAAGCGCUUGAUGCUACGCUGUCCUUACAGGCAGCGGAGGCAAAACGGAUACCCCCGGUAAUUCUGGGGCUAAUACGCGUUCGAUAUCUUGGUCGCAGUUUCGCGGGCUCUCGCUUGCGGGGGUCCACCUUUGUGGCUGGGAAGCGUGCGAGCAGAUUUUGCUCCGUUUUAUAAGGAAUCAGCGCAUGCCGGUACAGUGGCCGAGAAAAAGGGGAGGUCGCCUCCAAGCAGCCUCCCGGGCCUGUGCUUGCGUUGGGCUCUUGUUCCUAUCAUACUCGCCUGCAGCGUAACGGACAUGCAGGGGUUUUGACGGGUACAGAGGAUUAGAGUUCGAUCCUGGAGAGUGGGCCUGAGAGAUU